AAGACGCUAGUAAAAUUAUUACACUACCUUGUCGAGGUAGUAUUGUGGGUUAAACCCCCGCGCAUCUUA
This 69-nucleotide transfer RNA is filed under the name Hoplisoma cruziensis. Its description in RNAcentral is "Corydoras cruziensis tRNA-Asp". It matches the Rfam family "tRNA". Rfam says of the family: Transfer RNA (tRNA) molecules are approximately 80 nucleotides in length. Their secondary structure includes four short double-helical elements and three loops (D, anti-codon, and T loops). Further hydrogen bonds mediate the characteristic L-shaped molecular structure. tRNAs have two regions of fundamental functional importance: the anti-codon, which is responsible for specific mRNA codon recognition, and the 3' end, to which the tRNAs corresponding amino acid is attached (by aminoacyl-tRNA synthetases). tRNAs cope with the degeneracy of the genetic code in two manners: having more than one tRNA (with a specific anti-codon) for a particular amino acid; and 'wobble' base-pairing, i.e. permitting non-standard base-pairing at the 3rd anti-codon position. The record is from RNAcentral. Lineage: Eukaryota; Metazoa; Chordata; Actinopteri; Siluriformes; Callichthyidae.